CCUCGGCGGCAGCAGUGGGGAAUAUUGGACAAUGGGCGAAAGCCUGAUCCAGCCAUGCCGCGUGUGUGAAGAAGGCCUUCGGGUUGUAAAGCACUUUCAGUGGGGAAGAAAGCCUUGGGGCUAAUACCCUCGAGGAAGGACAUCACCCACAGAAGAAGCACCGGCUAACUCCGUGCCAGCAGCCGCGGUAAUACGGAGGGUGCGAGCGUUAAUCGGAAUUACUGGGCGUAAAGCGCGCGUAGGCGGUCUGAUAAGCCGGUUGUGAAAGCCCCGGGCUCAACCUGGGAACGGCAUCCGGAACUGUCAGGCUAGAGUGCAGGAGAGGAAGGUAGAAGUCCCGGUGUAGCGGUGAAAUGCGUAGAGAUCGGGAGGAAUACCAGUGGCGAAGGCGGCCUUCUGGACUGACACUGACGCUGAGGUGCGAAAGCGUGGGUAGCAAACAGGAUUAGAUACCCUAGUAGUC
RNAcentral lists this ribosomal RNA (463 nucleotides) under Vreelandella stevensii. Its description in RNAcentral is "partial 16S ribosomal RNA". It matches the Rfam family "Bacterial small subunit ribosomal RNA", at positions 338 to 795 of the family's 1533-position model. Lineage: Bacteria; Pseudomonadati; Pseudomonadota; Gammaproteobacteria; Oceanospirillales; Halomonadaceae. The record is from RNAcentral.